UGGGGAAUCUUCCGCAAUGGACGAAAGUCUGACGGAGCAACGCCGCGUGUAUGACGAAGGCCUUCGGGUUGUAAAGUACUGUCUUUGGGGGCACAGAACGGUAUCUAUGUAAAUAAUGCAGAUACAUGACGGUACCCAAGGAGGAAGCCCCGGCUAACUACGUGCCAGCAGCCGCGGUAAUACGUAGGGGGCGAGCGUUGUCCGGAAUCAUUGGGCGUAAAGGGCGCGUAGGCGGGUCAUUAAGUCUGGUGUGAAAGGGCAGGGGCUCAACCCCUGGAAGGCACCGGAACUGUUAUCUUGAGGACAGGAGAGGAAAGCGGAAUUCCACGUGUAGCGGUGAAAUGCGUAGAUAUGUGGAGGAACACCAGUGGCGAAGGCGGCUUUCUGGACUGUAACUGACGCUGAGGCGCGAAAGCGUGGGGAGCAAACAGGAUUAGAUACCCUGGUAGUCCACGCCGUAAACGAUGAGUGCUAGGUGUAGAGGGUAUCGACCCCUUCUGUGCCGCAGUUAACACAAUAAGCACUCCGCCUGGGGAGUACGGCCGCAAGGUUGAAACUC
This 559-nucleotide ribosomal RNA is filed under the name uncultured bacterium. RNAcentral describes it as "partial 16S ribosomal RNA". It matches the Rfam family "Bacterial small subunit ribosomal RNA", at positions 355 to 902 of the family's 1533-position model. The record is from RNAcentral.